Long non-coding RNA from Apus apus (common swift), 3911 nucleotides. RefSeq lists it as uncharacterized. Lineage: Eukaryota; Metazoa; Chordata; Aves; Apodiformes; Apodidae. The transcript is spliced from 2 exons. The record is from RefSeq and is a predicted model, not a curated record.
CAUUGGUUUUGUCCUUUUUUUUUAAGAGUGUAAGUUUUUGGUCAUAUGUCUAAUCUAUUGUGACCCAAAGAUAAAAGCAUCUCGUUUUGGCUUAGAAUGAACGCUUAAGAAAAGAGGAAAAUUGUAUCAACAAAAACUGUUACAAUGCAGUUAAGUAUGUGACUCUGUCAGGGAUGAGAUGGAUAAGAGACUACAGAGAUGAGAAUAAGAAUUCCCCUUGUUAGGUAUUUGCAGCCUUUAUCAGGUAUUCAGAACUCAAUUAGCAAAUGGAGGUUUUUAGUGGAACUUAAAUGAUUUAAGUAUCAGAAGGCAUUUCCAUCCUUCAAACUGUCUCACUCAUUUAAAUGUCAGUAGUCAUGCUGUGUAUUUAGCAAGUGACUUAAUUUUUUUCCUCAUAGAUAUAAAAGAAAAAGACAUAUUUUGGCAUUUAGGAAUAUAAAUGUUUUUCUUUUGUUGUUGUUCUUUCAACAAAGGCACUCUUCUGUAGUCUUUUCCAUAUUCUAAGGAAAAAUUAAUUUUGUCAACCUGUAAGAUCAGUUCCUCUUUCUCAGUAUUAUGUUACCUUAAAAUUGAAAUAGAUUAACAGGAAAGAGUAUUUUGGAGGAAAUGGAAAAGGGAAAAUGAGUUGGUAUGUUUUUCACCCAAACAUAGUUAUAUUUUUUUAUUACUUUCUUUGCAAAUUUUCCCACAAUUAGUGUUUACUUGAUACCAUGUUUUUUUUUAUUACAUCAGUAGUGCAAUCAUGUGUACAACAAACUCUCACGCAUAAAUCUUAGCCUGCUUCAGAAAUAAUGUAUUUUUUAAAUAUGUAACUCCAGCCAAUUAAAGUUUCAGAUGUGUGGGAAUAUUUAUGCACAAGUUAAGACUAAGGAUUUCUUUGCUAAUCAGCUGACAAACUGAUUCACUUCAAAGACGCCUAACAUUAUAGUUCUGACUAAUACAGUUUUUCUUGUCUUGCCAUUUUAGCAAGACAGUUUGUUUCACUAGAUCUGUAAAAAUAAUCUGUAGUAUUGCUGAUGAAGCCUCUUGUCCUGAAUUUGGAAAUUCUGUAUGAAGAAAAGAAACAUAAAUAGCUUAUUGAUUUAAUAAAUGUGCAAGGUGACAUACACAGAAAAAAAGUUAUAGUUAUACAGCACUUAAUAGUUAUACAGCACUUAAAAGCUAUAAAAGAGUAGUUUAAUUUUUCCUUCUUAUGUAAGCUGAAGCAAUUUUUCUGGAGUGUGCUGAUAACAAUAGAAAUGUGUGAGGAGUGGUUCGCUUUUUUCCAUAGCACAGCUCUAGAACUUUGAGGCUCUUUAUUUGCCUACAUUUCUUCUUACUUCCUACCUAAUAAGGUUCCAACAAGGAAAGGGUUAAUGGAAUUGUCUGCAUACAUUGUUGUAAUGCAGUUUUUGUUUGAGGAUUUUUUUUAUAUUUGCUUUUGUUAUUCCAAGUUUGUUUUAUAGGAGUGGUCUUCUAAGAUCAUUCAGUCCAGUGUGUGAGCGUCAUUGUCCCUUAACACAAUAUAAUCCUUGUUAAAAAAAAAUAGUUUUCCUUUACUAGAUAUCUAUGGUGUAUAUAUAACCCUCAGUACCAUGCUGGGGUUGUUUCACAUGUAAUAUGUAAAAGCCUGGAAGCUAAUUUCCUAGGAAAUGAAGAUGAAAUAUUUUGUAUUAAAACCUGUUAUGUACUAUAAGAUGCAAUGGCAUUGUAGGCCAAAGUCUGUUUCUGCCUUCCAGUAAGACAGUAAUGUCCUGAUGUAGACUGGAUGGUCUGCCAGAGAGGGAGAGAGUUCAAUGUCUUUCUUAUGGUUUCUCAGUCUGACUUAAUAGACAAAGCAUGUUUUGGCUCUUCCACUACCUCAGUGUGACUCUGAGGUGUCAUGUUGAAGCCUGAUCUAAAGGAAAAGUUUCAAGUUACUUUUCUUUAUAAGAAUGGAAAACGUACAACUUUAGACCUGCUGCAGGAAUAAAGGUGUUUAUUUGGACUUUGAAAGAAAAUGAAGAAGAGAUGGAUCCAAAAUGAAAAAGAGAAGGGAGGUCACAAGACCUUUCUGUAUUUACUGAUGUGGAUAUGGAUUUGGUGCCGUACUGCUUGAGGGACAAGACGGAAGAAGGGAUUCUGUCUCGCACUUCCUCAAGUGCCAGUGGACAUUCCACAAUUCUCCCCAAGUAGAGUCUCACAGGCUGAACACAUCACUGGGAGAUGCAAAAGUUGAAGGACUUAUUUUCAAUGUGAUACCAGUCGUCUCCAGGAGAAAUAACUGUGUUGCCUUGACAGGAACAGACCCUCUGCAUCUGCUGAAAGACAUGGAUAAAAAGAAUAAAUUAGCAGAAGAGAAUAUGUUUUUAUCUGCACUAGGUCAUAACUUCUGUUGCCCAAGAAGUUGUAUUUGAAGGAAAGGCAAAAGGAUCAAAAGAGAAGUUCAGCAGAACACAGUGUAACGUUUGUCGUCAGAGGAAUUGUACAGAGGAUAAAUGCAAACUUUUUGUUAGAUACCUGGAUUAUAAGCACUCAGUGGAGACCAUGCACUUGCUAUACCAGCUGCAGAAUCCUUUCCACUCAAUCCCUUUGGAAAAAAUUGGCUUUCACUUACAUGUUUGUUGGCCUCAUGGGGCUGUGGGGCCAGUGUCCUUGCUAUAUUAAAGCCAAACCAAAACAAACUGCAUUUUUUGAGUAAUAAUGUAAACCUGUAUGUUUUUAAAAUUGUAAGAUGUGACGUUUUCAGAUUGGUUUAUCAGAGGAUUUCAUAAAAUAAGUUAAUUCAUUUAAGCCUUGCAUUCAUUUUAAAGCUAAGAACCGUUUAUUCAUAGCAGUAAAAACAUUUGUAAAACAGCACAUUGUUUGCUAAAGCACACUUUGAACAUGCUUUUAGUUCAAUUGCUUUUGUGUUUAGCUGCUCAGAAUGAAAUAUGUUACAAUACCCUCUCUUGCCAUAAUCCACCUCCAAAAGUAGGAAAUGAAGGCAUUUGCUAUAACAAAAUUAGAAACUGAUACAGAGGACUGCUUUGGGGAUAGUGUGAUGAAACCUACAUUUUGGAGUGGAUUACAAAUACCUAUAAUAGAGUUGUGUUUUGAGGCUUUUACAUUUACACUACCUAUCUUUGGUAAGUGCUCUAUAAGGGAUACUUGCUGUAAAAAUGUAAAGGAGAAAGGGAGAGAAAUGUGAAAUGGUAUUUAAUUAAAUUUUAUCCCCAAGAAAUCAGCAUGUUCUCUAUAUGGUGCUCAUGACAUCUUCAAGGCUCAAUUAUUUAUUUUUGUGUAGCUUAAUUGCUGUGGAUCAGCUGAGCCAUGUUAAUGAUCAACAUGCAUAUUCUUGGCCCCAUGAAAUACGAGAUAAAAGCUUGCUUCAAGUUUUAAAUUGGUGUUAAGUCCUAGAUUGACUUUAAAACUGGACGUGUUAACUAUUUUAGCAUGUGAAAGGUUGUUAAACUUAAGCUUAAAUCUAAGCAGAAGGUGACAGGCAGUUGUAUUGAAAUUUCCUAGAAAUUUCCUCUUUCUUUGUUCAAAGAAGCAUUCAAUUUCUAUAAGAGUUUUGCUUUUUUGUACCUUGGAGCCCAAGUAUUUUGAAAUAAUUAUUUAAAUCUUUUCUGAUACCAGAGAUUGCAAAGCUGCUAUGUAACAAUCAGUUCACUUCCGUUGCAGCCAAUGGAUUUCUCUAUCUUUUAAUAAACACACCUUUUAUUAAGUUGUCUGUCACCAAGCCAAGAGCUGCAAUUAUACAGUUCUGAAAUUCGCUGUCCUUUUGGAUAUUUCAGGAUACCCUAUCUAAAUACUCAUGUUAAUUCAGUGGUUGAUAGUGACUUUUAUAUUGUUUCUUCACAAGUAAGCUGGUAUAUAUUUUUAACUGUUAUAAAAGAUAAUGUCCGAAGUUUUUAGACUGUUAUGUUUUUGUAUGUAGAACUUGUAUUAAAAUAGUGUUUUGAAUUUGA